This is a non-coding RNA of Selaginella moellendorffii, 133 nucleotides long. The record is from Rfam. NCBI's taxonomy places the organism in Eukaryota, Viridiplantae, Streptophyta, Lycopodiopsida, Selaginellales, Selaginellaceae.
AAGGGCCUAUGAACAAAAGUGCACCCUCUUUACCAAUCGGUUAAGGGUCUUGGGAUAUUUGGAGUUAAGCAUCUUUGGGUUUGAAUAGUACUAGGCUGGGUGACCUCCCGGGAAGUCCAAACUUAGGAGCUUA